This 425-nucleotide ribosomal RNA is filed under the name uncultured bacterium. RNAcentral describes it as "partial 16S ribosomal RNA". It matches the Rfam family "Bacterial small subunit ribosomal RNA", at positions 354 to 796 of the family's 1533-position model. The record is from RNAcentral.
GUGGGGAAUAUUGGACAAUGGGCGCAAGCCUGAUCCAGCCAUGCCGCGUGAGUGAUGAAGGCCCUAGGGUUGUAAAGCUCUUUCACCGGUGAAGAUAAUGACGGUAACCGGAGAAGAAGCCCCGGCUAACUUCGUGCCAGCAGCCGCGGUAAUACGAAGGGGGCUAGCGUUGUUCGGAAUUACUGGGCGUAAAGCGCACGUAGGCGGAUUGGUCAGUUAGAGGUGAAAUCCUGGAGCUCAACUCCAGAACUGCCUUUAAUACUGCCAGUCUAGAGUCCAGAAGAGGUGAGUGGAACUCCUAGUGUAGAGGUGGAAUUCGUAGAUAUUAGGAAGAACACCAGUGGCGAAGGCGGCUCACUGGUCUGGUACUGACGCUGAGGUGCGAAAGCGUGGGGAGCAAACAGGAUUAGAAACCCUGGUAGUCC